This 512-nucleotide ribosomal RNA is filed under the name uncultured bacterium. RNAcentral's name for it is "partial 16S ribosomal RNA". It matches the Rfam family "Bacterial small subunit ribosomal RNA", at positions 28 to 507 of the family's 1533-position model. The record is from RNAcentral.
GAUGAACGCUGGCGGCGCGCCUAAUACAUGCAAGUCGAACGAAACUUCUUUAUCACCGAGUGCUUGCACUCACCGAUAAAGAGUUGAGUGGCGAACGGGUGAGUAACACGUGGGCAACCUGCCCAAAAGAGGGGGAUAACACUUGGAAACAGGUGCUAAUACCGCAUAACCAUAGUUACCGCAUGGUAACUAUGUAAAAGGUGGCUAUACUACCGCUUUUGGAUGGGCCCGCGGCGCAUUAGCUAGUUGGUAGGGUAAAGGCUUACCAAGGCAAUGAUGCGUAGCCGAAUUGAGAGGUUGAUCGGCCACAUUGGGACUGAGACACGGCCCAAACUCCUACGGGAGGCAGCAGUAGGGAAUCUUCCACAAUGGGCGAAAGCCUGAUGGAGCAACGCCGCGUGGGUGAAGAAGGUCUUCGGAUCGUAAAACCCUGUUGUUAGAGAAGAAAGUGCGUGAGAGUAACUAUUCACGUUUCGACGGUAUCUAACCAGAAAGCCACGGCUAACUACGUG